Molecule: ribosomal RNA, 443 nt
Filed under: Salipiger abyssi
Lineage: Bacteria; Pseudomonadati; Pseudomonadota; Alphaproteobacteria; Rhodobacterales; Roseobacteraceae
Description: bacterial SSU rRNA
Rfam family: Bacterial small subunit ribosomal RNA
Source: RNAcentral
GCUGGGGGGGCAGCUAACACAUGCAAGUCGAGCGCUCACUUCGGUGGGAGCGGCGGACGGGUUAGUAACGCGUGGGAACGUGCCCUUCUCUGCGGAAUAGCCACUGGAAACGGUGAGUAAUACCGCAUACGCCCUUCGGGGGAAAGAUUUAUCGGAGAAGGAUCGGCCCGCGUUAGAUUAGGUAGUUGGUGGGGUAAUGGCCUACCAAGCCUACGAUCUAUAGCUGGUUUGAGAGGAUGAUCAGCAACACUGGGACUGAGACACGGCCCAGACUCCUACGGGAGGCAGCAGUGGGGAAUCUUAGACAAUGGGCGCAAGCCUGAUCUAGCCAUGCCGCGUGAGUGAUGAAGGCCUUAGGGUCGUAAAGCUCUUUCGCUGGGGAAGAUAAUGACUGUACCCAGUAAAGAAACCCCGGCUAACUCCGUGCCAGCAGCCGCGGUAAU